This is a long non-coding RNA of Argentina anserina (silverweed cinquefoil), 1540 nucleotides long. RefSeq lists it as uncharacterized. Lineage: Eukaryota; Viridiplantae; Streptophyta; Magnoliopsida; Rosales; Rosaceae. The transcript has 4 exons. The record is from RefSeq and is a predicted model, not a curated record.
UCACUUUCUCUCUAAUUUUCUUUCCUCCAAAUUUGAGAACGUAAUAGCACCACCACCACCACAAAUCGAUUUAGCUCUCUUCUCCGAUCAGCAACCCCCAAAACUCGAAGGCUUGAGGCAGCUCCUUUGGCCUUCGCCACUAACCAGAAGCACCUCAUUCUAGCAACCUUCCCGCCACACCACUACAGUCGCUCAAUCACGAAGAUGGAGGAGACUAUGAGAGAACGAGGCAGCACCGAUGGAGCAUCAAGCUCUACGCCCUUCAUUCUCCGACUUCUAGCCGUUAUUUGGUCUUCUCACUACCAAGAUCGAAGUCAGAGUUUCUUACUUAUCAAAACCCCUAACCUCGCCUUCGAAUUCAGCCAACACCGCCAUUGUUGCCCGCCGCAGCUUCGCUUGCCGCUCUGCCGUAUAAGGGAAAUCACUGUUGAGGGACUACGUAUUACGUAAUAGUUGUUGGGUAAUUUCAAGAUUUCGUUUUCCAUUAGUUUGGGUAUUCAACUUUGUUUUGUUUGAUUCUUUUUCUUAGUACCUUUAAAGAAAGUUCCUCUCGUUGUUGACAAAUUACUUCCCUUACAGAAAUAUAGAGAGAGAUUCCAUUCUUUCUCCCCUCAACUCCUCUUCAUCUGCUUUUUAACACCAAUUGGAGCUUUGCUUUUGCUCUCUUAUGGGUUCUUCUCUCUGCAGCUUCUCAGCUCAGAAACCGCAAGCAAAACAAAGAUUGUUGCUGCCCUUGAAUCGGAUUGCUGUCAAUUGAAAUGCAAGGUGAAAAGGGAAAAGGAACUGAGUGGUGUUUAAACAUAUCGGUCAUCUAUACAAGGACUGGAUAAAUCAGACUGAAACUGACUCUCUUGUCUCCUCUCCUCUACGGCAUAGGGGUGCCACAGCCCACAACAACCAUCUCCCUCUCGCCGUCUCUCCUCCGAGUCCUCUCCCACCCUCUGGGUGGUUCAGUUUUAUUUACUUUCUUACAUAGCUUUGUUGAUGUCAUCAAGACAAUAUUGCAAGUGCAUGGAUCAACAUUGAGGAUUUGAGGUAUUGAGUCAUUAUUAUUGUUUAUUUUCUUUAAUAACCUCUACUCUUAUAUAUAUGGUUGUGGAGUUUUUCAAGAAAUCUUGCAAUGGAGUGAGCAUUGACACAGUGGAAGAAGCUGCUAACUUCAUGGUGGAUAAAAAAUGUGCAUUUUUUCAUUUUUUUUCUUUUUGAUGUAAUAGAACUACAUUAUGAAAUAGAUGAGAUAAUUUUAGUGAUAUUGUGUCUCUGUUGUAAUUGUAAAUGAAAAGAUAAUUGAUUUCUGAAUUAAAUUCAGGAAUCAAAUGUGUAUUUUUUUUAAAAUAUGAAAAGAAUGAAUGACGUUUAGAAAACGUCAUGAACACUUUUCAAAGGCAGUUCAUAAACGUCAUAGAAAUAUUUUCUAUAACAAUGACAAAACGUCAUGGUAAACUCAUUUCAUGGCGUUUUGUAAGUGUCAUUAAAAGGUUUUUAUGACGUUUUUCUACAGUCAUCGAAGAGUACCCCUACGAUGGCACCCGUAUAGAUG